GAGGCCCUGCUCUACACACCCGCGAUCUGACCCAAAACGUUGCCUCGGCGGCAGGCUGCCCGGGGGUCUUCAGGGACCUCUCGGCGCCCGCCGCCGCUGGCCUGUAAACUUUACAGCAUAUAGACCCUCUGAGGAUACCUAAUUUA
This 146-nucleotide unclassified non-coding RNA is filed under the name uncultured fungus. Its description in RNAcentral is "sequence contains ITS1". Lineage: Eukaryota; Fungi. The record is from RNAcentral.